UGGCACCUGAGAAUGAUAAACAGGAA
Molecule: non-coding RNA, 26 nt
Filed under: Homo sapiens (human)
Lineage: Eukaryota; Metazoa; Chordata; Mammalia; Primates; Hominidae
Source: RNAcentral